UGUUUUAGUAUACGUCUAUAAAUGGCGAGACUGCGAAUAGCUCAUUAAAAGAGAAAUAAUUUAUUUGGACUUUAAGGUUGAAAUGGAUAUCCGUGCUAAUUGCAGGGUUAUUACAUGUUUUCUGUAAUUAGAGUAUUAAUUAUAAUGCAUAUUGGACAUAGUAUUCCACUACUAUAUCUAAGGAUUUAUUAUAAUAUAUUUAAUUGGUUAUUACCAAUUGUCCAUAUAAGUUUCUUACCUAUCAGUCAUUGAUGGUUGGGUAUUGGCCUACCAUAACAUUAACAGGUAACGGGGAAUUAAGGUUUGAUUCCGGAGAAGGAGCUUGAGAAACAGCUACUAUUUCUAAGGAAAGCAGCAGGCGCGCAAAUUACCAAACUUUGUAAUAAAGAGGUAGUUAACAAAACUAUCAGCAUAUAAUGUUUAACAUUUUAUGACUGGAAUGAACAAAGUUUAUAUAUCUUUGCAAGGAACAAUUAAAGGGCAAGUCUGGUGCCAGCAGCCGCGGUAAUUCCAGCUUUAAUAGCAUAUAUUAAAUUUGUUGCAGUUAAAACGCUCGUAGUUAGUUUUGUAUCAUUAUAGAUGUGUGGCAAUCUUGCCAUUACAUCAUAAAUGAUUUAGUAAUGAACUUGGUUUUCGAACUGUAUGUUUAUUACAUUCACUAUAAUAAAAUAAUAGUGUUCAUUGCAAUAUUACAAUGAAUUCUAUAGUGUAGUAUGCAAAUGUAUAGCUUAGCUUUGGGUUUAGUUCAAAACUGAAGUUGAGCAAUAUUAUUAUAAAAACUGUUUAAGGUAUAUAUAAUCAACUGUUAGAGGUGAAAUUCUUAGAUCAGUUGACGAUAUCCUAAUGCGAAAGCAUUAACCUAUGAAGUUUUUCUUAAUAAAGAACGAAAAAGUUAAGGGAUCAAAGACGAUUAGAUACCGUUGUAGUCUUAACUGUAAACUUUACCUAUUAAGGGUAAAAUGUUUUUACUAUAUUCAUCCUAUACUUUAUAAGAAAUUAAAAUAUAAAGGUUCUGGGGGGAGUAUGGUUGCAAGAUUGAAACUUAAAGGAAUUGACAGAAGGGCACCACCAGGAGUGGAGCUUGCGGCUUAAUUUGACUCAACACGGGAAACCUUACCAAGCCAAAACAUAUUAAGGAUUGACAGAUUGAUAGUUUUUUCUUAAUUCUAUGGGUGGUGCAUGGCCGUUCUUAGUUGGUGGAGUGAUUUGUCUGGUUAAUUCCGUUAACGAACGAGAUUUUAACUUCCUUAUUAACAUAUGUUAAUUCAUGUGUUUUAAGGAGGAUUUCAUAUAUCCAAUAUGAUGAAAGAUAAAGCAAUAACAGGUCUGUGAUGCCCUUAGAUGUUUUGGGUUGCACGCGUGCUACAAUAAUAUAUAAAAUAUGGGUUUUGCGCUUGAAUUUUGCGUAAAAAGCAUUUCUAUAUAUAUUAUGCUUGGGAUAGACUUUUGUAACUAUUAGUCUUUAACGAGGAAUUCCUUGUAAAUACAAAUCAUUAUUUUGUAUUGAUUGCGUCCCUGCCCUUUGUACACACCGCCCGUCGCUGCAACUGAUUGGGUAAUUUAGCAAAUAUCUUGGAAAGCCUUUGGAAGCAUUUUGCUGACAAUAAGCUGAAAAGUUGUAAGCUAAAAUUAUUUAGAAAUUGCAAAAGUCG
Molecule: ribosomal RNA, 1652 nt
Filed under: uncultured eukaryote
Lineage: Eukaryota
Description: SSU rRNA
Rfam family: Eukaryotic small subunit ribosomal RNA
Source: RNAcentral